CUUUACAGCUAGGCAUUCUCUUGCAAUGAUGAAAUAUCUUCUUUCUUCUCUGCUCACUCUUCUACUGAUAGAGCACACACCUCUCAACUGUCCCUUAUUUGCCAGAAAAUACCGCAUUUUGUCUUAAAAUAACAGGGUGACAUUAAAUGCCAAGUAGCCCCUUUAAAUCAUGGUUUACACACUCCUUGCUGAGUCACUGACAUCAUGUAAUCGGCUCAUGCCUGCAACCCCAGUGUUGAAUGUGAUAAUAUUAGAGCUGCAACCAACUCUCUGUGAUUUCAAGGCAGCUGGCUGAGUGACAAGCUGCUAAACCAAAUGUCUGGCUCCUUUAAGGUGAUUAAUUGGUUAAUACGCAAGCGCCAGAAUGAAAUAUCACAGUUGAGAUAUCAGAAUAUAAAUACAACAGGAUAUUGGCUUGUAACACUAUCUGAUGAAGUCUUAUGAAAAGAACAAAAACACUGUGAAUCAGUCAAUGUGUUUAUGGUGUUUUAUUGAAUAAAGUUUUUCUGUUUUA
Molecule: long non-coding RNA, 514 nt
Organism: Protopterus annectens (West African lungfish)
Lineage: Eukaryota; Metazoa; Chordata; Ceratodontiformes; Protopteridae
Exons: 2
Source: RefSeq, a predicted model, not a curated record